This 253-nucleotide ribosomal RNA is filed under the name uncultured bacterium. RNAcentral describes it as "partial 16S ribosomal RNA". It matches the Rfam family "Bacterial small subunit ribosomal RNA", at positions 524 to 776 of the family's 1533-position model. The record is from RNAcentral.
UAUGGAGGGUGCGAGCGUUAAUCGGAAUAACUGGGCGUAAAGGGCACGCAGGCGGUUGAUUGAGUCAGAUGUGAAAUCCCCGGGCUUAACCCGGGAAUUGCAUCUGAAACUGGUUGGCUAGAGUCUUGUAGAGGGGGGUAGAAUUCCAUGUGUAGCGGUGAAAUGCGUAGAGAUGUGGAGGAAUACCGGUGGCGAAGGCGGCCCCCUGGACAAAGACUGACGCUCAGGUGCGAAAGCGUGGGUAGCAAACAGG